UCCGGUCGACAAGGCCCCGCCGUUCUCCAGUCAGAAAAAGACAAGGCCCGGCCAUCCCCAAAAUGUCCUCCCCCACUUAUCAAAUACCGUCUCCUGUAUUCCAUUUAUUCCCCUCCAUAACCCUAAUUAGAGGGAGAGGAGAUCAUUAAACGGGGAGCCUUCCAGAUAAAAGGGUGGGAGAUGGAGAGGUAGAGCGAUCGAUAGUUGCUUCUGGGCUUCUGCCUUGUUCUGCGACGUUGUCUCCUCCGCUCUACCCCACUCUACGUGAUAGCCAGGAGCCGGGAAAGAGAGAGAGAGAGGAGGGAGUGGGGAGCUCAGAUCUGACGACCUCUCUCUGGACUGAGCUUGAGUGGGGGAGAGGCAAGCUUUGAAAGGUUUGAGAUUUAUUGAUGGUAGAGAUUUUGGAAGAAAUGAAAAAGAUUGGUGGUAUAUCUUCUCUGACUUUGGCUGGUUUGCUUUCUUGGGCUGACAGAAGAGAGUGAGCACACGCCGGCGAUGGCAGCAUGAUAGGGAUGCUGUUCCCGUUGCGUGCUCACUUCUCUUUCUGUCAGCUUCCCAUGCCGCCUUCGCUCUUCUAGCCUUCUCUUUCUUUCUAUUUAUUUGUUAAAAAAAAAAAAAAAAAACGAUUGCAGUUGUUAUCGACGAUUUUUUUUUUUGUGUUCUAAAAAUCGAUGAGAUUGUUGAAGAGACGGCCACGCGCAGUGGCAGGGCCUUAUCUCCUCCAUAUCUCGGGUCUAUCAUCGCCUUUAUUGUUUGCUGCUUUUAUUUGACUUUUUCUCCUUCUCUCGCUCCGGCUGGCAUCCGGGACUUGCCUUCUGGCCGGAAGAGGGAGGGUUUUCCGAGGAGGAAGAUGAUGUAAGUCUGUACAAUAUCCCCCACAAUGGAUUUUACUUCAGUUGUAUUUAUUUUUGAUAGUUAGAUUUUUAUUUUUACGGCAGAAAAAUCUGGAAAAUAAGGGAAGGAAAUUGAGGCGGUGGAGCACGGAAGCGUGGCUUUUGAGAACGAGCCUGCACCUUUCUCUUUCCUCGUUGGGAGAGAGGCCCGGAUCGAGGCGUGUGGGCUGGGAGGCGAGAGUGAACCUUUGCCCGAUGCGGAUUUAACGGAAGUCACUGUUGACUAGUCCUCCUUCCCAACCCCACCGGCCCCCCCCCCUCCCUCCUCCCCCACCCCUAGCUUUCUUCUUGUUCCUUCUUUUUUUUUUUUUCUUUUUCUUUUUUUUUAGGCGAGAUUUCUUCUCCUACCUUCACCUUCUUGUUCUCUGGCCAGGACACGAGCCAUGGUAAAGAUUUCAGCAAGCUAGGAACCUUUUGCCGUUCUCUUCUCGAACGAUUUUAUAACUCGUAAUCUCUAGUAUUUUUUCUACUUUUCUUCUUGGUUCUUUUUUUUUCUAGGUUUUUUUGUUUUCCAAAUCUGGCCACUACUUUUGCACUCAAUGGGGAAGAGCCGCGUCUUGCUUUGUUGCAGGCUUGCGGGGGCCAAGAUGGUGGGAAGUGGGGGCAGGAGAAGGACGAGUUUACAGUUACUAAUAAAAGAAAGUAAGUGAUCUUUCUUCGGUUUCUUCCCAGAUCUGGGAUUCGUCGGCUGUUUUCCCUCUCAUUUGAACCUUUGUUUUUUUCCCGAUUUGGCGCAGGUAUUAUUGCUUCGGUACCUUAUUCCAUGGAGCUGUCUGCUUUCUUUCUACUGGAAAUCAAAUGGUUGCACUUGCGUUUUCAUCAUUUUAUGCGCCAUUCUUUCUUCCCACAUUUCCUCUCUCUCUUUCGCUUCCGGUGCUAAAAAAGGAAAAAAAAAAGAUAUGAAAACAACUGUUACCGAAGAGCUUUUUUUAUGCCCGUUGUUGUUUGUUUCAUGCCCCACAAAGUUUCUGCAAGCUGGCUCCAUUUAGUGCCCACUCUUUUGUUGUCCGCUCUUUCUUUGUUUCUUUUUUUUGGUUUGUUUUUGAUUUACAGAUGAAGGGAAUGAUUCAGUGGAAGACGUGGAAGGGAGGGGACCCUUUUGAAGGAUGGUGGAUGGUCCACUGAUGGGGCCUCUGGGAUCCGUGGAGGUAGGGGACCUUCUUCCCUCCUUUAACUUUCCAUCCUGGUAGCUUAAUUUCCUUCUGUUUCUCUCCCAAAAAAAUGGUAUUGAAAAUUGUUUUAUCAUCUGCAUCCACUCUCUUCUUACGAGGUUUUAAAAAAUAUGAUGAUUUGAAGAAUUUUCUUGCAUAUGUGCGUGGGGAUUGUGGUUAGAAGAGCAUAAUGAUGCUGUUGUUGUAGAAGUUAUAAAGGCAAGCUAGUGGUUAGAUCGAUGUAACAGGAGCUAAGUAUCUCAUGGAAGUUUGCACAGGGAGAGCCGUGGGGACCAUACUAAUAAAUCUAGUGGGUGCGCGCCAUUAGUCUCCAUCUUUCUCAAAAGCAAAAAAAGUGAUUGAAAAUGAGAUCUCUUCCUAUUGAUGCGGAGAAGUGUUACAUCUUUGAUGCUAAAAAUGUGGCAGUAGUAUGUCUGAAUUUUGUUGGCAGACAUGAUUCAUUCAGCUUGUUCAGCUUUGGUGUAAAGUUGAUUUUGGAGUCUUUUAGCAGAAGUGAGAGAAAAUAAACCACAAAAAAGUAAUCUUUAACUUGUGCACUUAAGUUACACAUCAGAAAACAAAUCGAAAAAUAAGUAAUGCAUAACUAAUGCACUUAAGUAAUACUUUUUUUCGGUACAGCACUUAAGUAAUACUUGACUAUAAAGUAUUUGACAAUGGAGUUGGUGAUAUAUGGCAUAUGCUUUGAACUUCAUGAUUCUUUGGAAGAUAGCGAGCUUUUUAUUAUGUCAACAGUGAUCCAGAUUUACAUGGAAGGUUCUAAGCAUUUAUACAUAGAACCCCAAUUUGCUAAUGAGAAGAUCAAUAUCUAAAUAAGUUCUAUUUUUAAACAGAUGAAAUAUUGACUGGUGCUGUAGGAAAGGUUUGGAGGAAAUUGGGUUCAGUUGGAUUGCAUAUUUAUGAUGUACAUUUCAUAAAUAAUGUGUUUAGUUGGUUUUAAGUGGGUUUUUCUGAUGGUGAUGCUGCCUUGCACCUUGGUUUUUAAUGUUUGAUCCAAGAAUAUUGGGAUUCCAUUGUGGGAAAAGGUAGCAAAUUAGAGGCUUGUUUGUUGCUGCUAUAAUUAAUCAAUUUACCUUGCAUGCGGGAGCAAUGUAUAUGAUACUGUAGACAUAUUUGGGGAAUGAUUAGCUUACAAUGUAGGAGAUCUCUUGCAAACAAUUUUUCUAGUCUUUACAGGCAGCUUAAAAUGUAGGGGUUAUUUAGUUUCUUAGUUAUGCUUUUGGAUCCAUUGAUGGAUUCUCUCCUGAUAUUCAUUGUUCCUUUGCUAUGUUGAAUGACAAGUUGAUGCACAACUGGUGGUCUUCGAAGUGUGCAGUGGUUCGAAAGCCCUAGGUUUCUGACUCCAAAUUUUUCGCAUCCUAGAUUUCAAUAAUAAGCUAUUUUGGAUCUACUAUUUAUGCUUCAGUGAGAUCUCGAUCUCUCUUAUGUGAAAUAGGAAGGAGUUCCAUUCACAACAGGAUGGGUGAUUGAGAUGAAGAGAUUUGGUGAUAUUGUGGGGAAGAUAUAUAUUCGAUAAAUGCCCAAUGAAAACAAAUAUAUUAUUAAUGCAUCAUCCCUUUCUUUUCUGGCAAAGAGCCAUAGGAUUCACAUUAGGAGAACAGACGGAAUCAACAUUCUCCGUUUGUGAAAGCGUGGGUUGACGGUAGUUGACAUGGAGUCCAACCCCUCCGGACCCCCUCUCCCCCCCCACCCACCCUACACACAGACAACCAGAGAAAAAAAAAAAAGGAAAGAUAGGCAACUCUUCUUCAAGUCUUUGUUCUCUUUGCUUAUUUUUAUAUUUUUUUGCCAAAAUUUGAUUAUCUCUUAAUCAGUGCUGAGUGUUCUAUAAUGAUUCACACUACAUAUGGUAAAUAUAGAUUUUUUUUUAUUGUUUCUUCUUCCGGAUCUCUUCUCCAGCUCAACAUAUGUUAUAAAAGCUGGUUCCCAUCUUUUCUAUUAUAACAUUCUAUGCAAUAUAUCCUGUGUCUCAUCUUACCUUGCUUGCAGUAUCUAAAAGAUUUAGCUCCUUUGCACCUAAACAUAUUAACCAUCAACCAUUUAUCUGAUCUUGUUCUCCUUGCGGAACAUUCUAUAUUUCGCUUGUGUGCAAGAGAAAUUGGUUUCCCAUGUAUAUCAUGUAAAAAUGACAAGGAAUUUGGAGAAUUGAAGAUCCUUUAAUUUUGCCACCUUGACAUUUAAAAUUAUGGUUUUGGGAUUGAUGUGUCACCAUUGAUUGAACCUUUUUUUAGCCUAUUUCUGUCUUGGAAACCUUAUAAGCUUAACAUGCUUUGCUUGCUGUACCAAGGAAAAUUUUGAAAAAUUGAUAUAUUUGUGUGUGCGUGUGUGAGGAUGGAAAGAUGGGAAUAAGGGACAAGAAGGAUGCAAAUAGAAACAAGGUCUUCAGCCAUAAACCAGGUUACACUCUUCUCUUGUUUUUAUUCACCUAGUGUCAAAUAACAAAUGACCCCAUUCCUAUAUGGUAAGCCAAUUAUGUUUGACAAGCCGCAGUCUGAUGUCAAAGCCUCCAAUCUUGUACCGUUAAUCUGAUAGUCGGGAUGCUUUCCAAAACCUUUGCAGACUUAAAUAGUUAAUUUUGUGUAACAAAUGAAGCUACGACCUCUUUAUUUUCAGUUUGUGAGGCAUUUUAUUUCACAAUCCUUUUUCUCCAUUGAGAUAUUGGGUUUUUGCAAACCUGAUGCUACUUUGUUAUUGCAAUGUAGAAAAUUUCUUUGGCCACAUUCAGCACUAAAGAAUUGAAUUUGACUACAGUAGCAUGCAUAAUGUGUGAUCUUUUUUUAACCUUAUCUGUGCUUGGUCAAGGGUUUUAACCUUGCAUGUGACUACAGUACGAGCUCACAUGUCACCACAGUACUACCAACAAAAUGCACAGUGUCCCAUGGUCAAUAUUUACUGGGAAGCGUUAGACGAUCCCUGAAUUUGAAGAUGUCCGUGUCUUAGGAUGUUACAUCUUGUUAGGGGAGCUCUUCAAUUACUAAUUACUAUGUUUCACUAUGUCAAGAAAUUUUGCUUAUAUGGACUCAUCAAACCCAUUGUAAAUGAAAUGUUAGCUCUUGAAGUGAAUUAACCACAGCAGCAUGCAUUGUUUGUAACUGUUUGAUCUUUUCUUCUGUUCUUGAUUUAGGGAGAACUUUAUUUUUUGCAUAUCACCACCGUAUUUCCACAUAUGUACGGUGUUCCAUGGUCUAUCUCCCACUUGAAUGUUGAUCUAGCCCAGUGAGCAUUAAAAUACCUUGCAAGUUGAAGAUGUCCACGUCCACACUUUGGUUAUAUAUUGUCCAAGAGAUCUCUUCGAUUAUUUGAAAAGCAUAUAAAAUUGUGUCAAGAGAUGUCUUCCUCAACUAAUGAUAAGACAAGGGAAGGUAGUUCAUCUCUGCCUUGGCUUGAACCAAAAGUUUUAAUGAUUGAAGAUGAUUGGGCUGAUAGCACAAAUGACCAAGCAUGGAACCAGGCAAUCAGGGAACACAAUUUGGUUUAGCCUAAAGGUUCACAACCGAUACUACACAAUCAGCCUACAAAUCGAUCAUCAAGUAUAUCUGUUGGAGAUCCUGUCAUCAAAAGACCAAGCCUUAGCUCGAAAAAUAGGACUUCAACCCUCUGUUUGACAGAAUACAUAAAUGCCUUGAUGGGUGGAAGUGGCAACAUCUUUCCCAAGCUGGAAGAUUGGUCUUGCUUCAUUCGCUCUUGGCAUCUACCUGCAUCUGCUUUCUGUCAAACACUGUAGUCCCAAUAAUACUGCUAAAUGUAUCUCGAGAGAGUGUAAAUAUCCUUACAGGCACACGAAAUGGGAACUAGGAAAAUCCAUCUAUUGUCAUGGGGAAAAGAUCUGUAGAGGUAAAAGCAAAGGGGGGUGUUGCAGCAGCCAAUUAAACUCCGCAGGGAAGCAUUCAUGGCCAAAGUAGUUGGCUCCCUAAUCUUGAACAAAGAUACAAUCUGGUGCAAAUAAUUAGAAUCCUAGCACAACUUCAUUGGUUGAGAUGCCUGGAACAAGGGAAUCACCAGUCUGGAGAGCUAUUUGCUCGUGUUAAAUAUUUAAAAUAGCAUGUCUGUUAUCAAAUAGGAAAUGACAAAAGAAUCAACGUCCUAAAUGAUUCAUGGUUAUCUUACAUUCCCAUUGAUCAGAAGCUGAUACCCAUAAAUGCUCAGCUAUGUUGGGAGAAUUGGAUGGAUUCCUAGCUACUGAACAUUGAUGGAUCAUGGAAUCAGGAAAUGAUGAAUCCACUAUUUCCUAAUGAGAUUAUCUUUUAGGUGAUGUCCAUCCCUCAAUGAAAGUUUCAAUGUGAAGACAAACUUGUUUGGUCUGCAAUUGGAUCAGUUCAACUAAAAGUUGGAGAUGUUACACAAUCGUUCAAAUUGACGUGGAAGAUGGUUGUUGUCACUAAAGUUAAAAUAUUUUGUUUGAAAGUAAAUAAGGGUAGACUAUCUCGAAAGAGGUCCUAAAAGAUAGAAAUUUACUUAUGAGGAUCCGUGUGGGUGUGUAUUUAGUCCCACAUCGAUUAUUUGCUAAGAAGAUCUUAAUUACUUAUAUAAGGCUAAGAAAUCCAAAUAAUACCUUUAGAUUAGUUUUUUUAGGUGAGAUUCUGGGUUGUUAUAAAUGGUAUCAGAGCUGAUCCAACCCAUAACUUAUGUGAACUAAGGGAUACUGCAGCAUGGAUUCAUUGAGGCUAACCACGAUCGAUCAUAGUACUUAUGAAUGGAUGAAUGGAUUUGGAUCUUUAACCUGACGAAGAUGUUCCGACUUAAACAUAGAAGUAUGUGAGGACCUAUGCGUGCAUGUAUUUCGUCCCAUAUCGAUUAUUCGUUGAAAAAAUCUUGGAUACUUAUACAGGAUCAAAAAAUUCAAAUAAUAUCUUCUAACUACUUUUUUGUGGACGAUAUCCUGGAUUGUCACAAAUAGUAUCAAAAUCAAUCCGGCUCAUAGCCUAUGUGAACUAGGGGAUAUUGUAGCAUGGAUUCAUAGGGGUUGAUUUCAGGCGAUUGUGGUGUUUAUAAAUGGAAGUAUGAAUUUAGAUUCUUAACCUGACAAGAAUGUUAGGACUUAAACAAGAGGAGUUUGUAAAGAUUUGUGUGGGCGUGUAUUUAAUUCCACAUUGAUUAUUCACUGGAAGGAUCUUGAAUACUUAUAUAAGAUCGAGAAACUCAAAUAAUAUCUUUUGGCUAGCAUUUUUGGAUAGUAUCCUGGGUUAUUACACUACUCUAUCAGAUUAGUGCAAGUUGUGACCUAUGUGAAAAUAUUAAAGAAGAUCUCAACUGUUGCUUGAUAUGCUGUCUUUUUCCAAACUAAGUUUGGAAUUGAGAAGCUAUAAUCUCUCAGUUCCUGAGUUCAAUUCGAUGUAUAAUUUCAUUAACAUAUAUGCUUGUCCCAUGUUAUUAUAGUGUGACAGAACUAUCAUUAUUUACACUAGAAGGACUUUAUACAAUGCUAGGAAUGAUGGAUUUUUUCCAAGAACCAAAGUAGGCCUCCUCAAAUCUCUCAUCUCGCACAAUAGCUAGCAAUAGAGUUUGAUGAAAUAGCGUUGAAGGAAGUUGGAACCAAUGAUAUGCAAUAGUGGGUCACAAACAGCCCAGUGAGCUUGUCAUCUUAAAGUCAUAGGAUGGUUUUUUGGGUGCCUCCUCCCUAUGAUUUGCCGAAAGUCAACUUUGAUGCUUCAUGGAAGGAAGGUGAGGUAGGGACGUGAUUCAUUUUGAGGUAUCAUGCUCGUUAUGUUUUAACAACUGUGAGAUUUUAAGCUAAUUCAAUUCUUAAAGCAGUGGUCAGGGUAGCUUGGCAAGGGAUUUUAAUAGCUAUCAACACCAUAAAUUUUUUGGAAUAUGGCUUGAAGGAGACUUAACAAUGGUGAUUCAGUAGAUCAAGAAGCAUUGCAAAGCCUCCUUGAGCAUAAAAGCAAGACUUCACUUCCUCCUUUCUCACAAUCUACAAUGCACCACAUGUUUGGAGUUUUCUCUACUUCCCAUGUAUUCAAGGAAACUAACCAACCUAUUAAUUUGUUGGUAUGUCUGUGUCAAUAUUGACUUUUAUUCUAUGGCUUCUCUACCUCAACAACUUUGAACCCUUAUGCUAGUUGAUGCAACAAAAGUUUGCUUUAUUGGAUCACAAUUAAGCAUUUGUUUGUUUUUAUUGGGGUCCUUAUGACACCCUGAUAUACCUUUUCAAAAAAAGCCAAUUGCAAAUGUAGGCUGCCUUUGUUAUUAUUCUACUUCUUUAAAAAUUGGAAAUAUGAAAUCUAUUUCCAUUUUAUUAUUAUAUUUCUCACAAUAAACUAUGAUUAGCAUGCUCCUUCUUUCUCUCUCUCGAUAAUAGAACUGUAGAGCCCAAGAUAGUGAAAGGCCAUAGUGGAAGAUGGAAGCAUGGAAUCAUGCAAGCAUCAAGAGGGUGAAGAUUGGGGGAGGGGGGCAAUUGGGGAUAAUGCGAUAGGAGCUACUCAAAUAGGAGUGCGCUCAACUGGAUUGAUGGAUGUCGAGAAUAGAUGGCACCACUCUUGAGGGAACGAAUGAAUGAACGGGCGUCAAGAAUGAACAAACAAAUGUCGGGAACAAAAAAAGAUGGAUGACAACAGAAGAUAGGUGCCAAGGAUGAACAAAUGGAUGCCAAAAACAAAUAGAUAGAUGCUGACAAAAAAUAGACACCAAGAAUGAACUAAUGGAUGGACGAACAUCAGACCAUAGGCUUGAUGGUAGCUACUUAGUUAUUUUAUAUCACUGCUCCACCGCCAUUGUCUGAUCGCAACCCUUUCUAGUGUCUCACUCAUAGCAUGGGCUUCUCCCCCUUCGGCCCCACAUCUCAAGCUUUGGCAAUCUCUGUUGGUGCUUAAUCUCUCUUGCUUGCUCUUCCAACAUAUGUAGGCCUUCGAGUAUUAGUUGAGGAGGAAGAGGUGGCAUGAUUAAGGAGGACAGUAGAUGGAGGAAGGUACUUGAGAGGCAGGCAGUAGGAGAGAUGAGCAGCAUGGCGGCGGCCUCGAAGACAUAAAAGAAUUUUGGGUAUCAAGAUACUUAUGAUCAUUUAAAGAAACUGAUGAUCAUCAGAGAUGAGAGAGGUGUGAAAACCCUCCUUUAAAGAAAUGGAAGUGAAAAAUUUUCCCUUCACUUUUUUUCAAAAAUAACAAAUAUUAUUUAAAAAUAGAAAAGAAAUAAAAACAUGGCAGCCAAACAUGUUUUCUGCAUUGGAUUCCAUAUUUGUAUUUUUAUAAAAAAGAUAAAUAGGAAAAGAUGAUAUCAAACGAGGUUGUAAUGUUCAGUUCUGAUUGCCAAAAGAAUUAGAGGCAAGUUAGAUCAUUAGGGACAUUUUAGCAUAAGAUCCAUUAAAGUAUUGAUGCUUUUGCUUCCAUUUAACCUUUUCCUAAUGAAUUAAUCCAGAUUUAUUAGGUUAUAAAAAAUAUAUUCUUUUAUUUUCUUAAGCAAUUAUGAGUCCCAAAAAAGGUUUCAAAUUUGAAUAUUGUUCAUGUGGAAGUGUUCUUAAGAAAUUAAUUCAUCCUUUAUAUAACUUUAGAGUCGUAUCCAAAUAUAGUGACGUCAUUUGUGAACACAAAAAUGAUGUGAUUUGUCAAGGUUUUCUAUAAUCAAAACUGUGAGGCAAAAAUAGAAACAUUUUGGCUUCAAUCUAAGCCAAGGUUGAUUUUGAUAUUUAGUUGAAAUUAACUUUGGUGGCCAAUUCCAUUAUCUAUAUGGAAAUUUAUGAGUUUUGAGUGGAUAUUAAAUAUCAUUAAUUUAUUUGUAAGUCAGCAUUUCUUUCAUGUUUACAUUUUGAUCUCAUUCACUUUGGUAUCCUUAAAUUAUAUGAUAUCGAAUUUAAUGUGAUAUCAGAGGAAUAACCUAUAGUUUAACAGUCAUAUGUGUCGAUGAAAGAAAUAUUUGACACUUUAUCAUACUGUAUUGUCUCAGCACAUCCAUAAAAAUUGGACAUUCAAAGGUCCCAAACAGUAACAUAUAAGUUUGCGCAUUGCAUCUAUUAUUCUAUUUUUUAUUUUACCCUUUCCAUUUCUUUUUAUUUUAUAAACCAAUAUUUUGAAGCUUCAUUCCUAGACUUAUCAAAUAAUGUGUUAGUGAUUUCUUUUGACCAUCAGUAAUUUUCUAAGCUUAUACAAAUCUAUUUGUUUCCCUUUCUUACAAAACCUUGCUGCCUUUUUAUGUAGAACUUUUGUAAAUAAUUAUUUAGGACAUCAUGUUGUUAUGGUGAUUCAUUAAGGUUAGUUGCAGUAACAUUGGCUGGUUUAACUUGAUUCAAUUUAGAUUUUAGAAAGAAAUACCAGAAUUUAUUCUUUCCAAAUUUGCAUAACCUUUGUAAUGAGUAUUGUAUAAUCAAGUUUUUUUUUGUGUGUACGUGCGUGUGUUCAUCUACAUUUACCCAUACCUUUUUAGUUUUGUUAGAUAAAAGACACUGAUGAUCAUUUGCACGAGAAUCUAAGCAUUAGUUUCAUGAAGUGCCUUGAUCUCUUCUUGGAUUUGUAGAUUCUAGUCAUCUCGAGUGACUUCUUGCUCAAAGAUUUGGUAAAGGCAAUGGAGGACAAGUAAGGUAUAUACAAAUUGAUGAUGAUAGGUACCAGAAACAAUUAUGGGUAUCAAAAUUGUAGAUUGUUUUAGCUAUACAUUUUUUCUGCCUUUUAGGAAAAUCAAAACAUGCAAAAUUUUGUCCACAAACCAUUAUCCUAGUCUUAUUGAUAGGUCUACUUUUAUUUUUUUGUCUUGUGCUCUCUUGAAUGGGUUUUGCUUUUCAAUGUUUGUAGAUUUCAUAUGUUAUUUUUGUUGAUAAUAGAGAUUAGUGGUAGGACACCAUUAGUCACUAAAUUUAUUGCAAUAAAAAGUCUAUACAAAGGAAGAAAAAUAAAAUUACAAGAUUAGAAAGUAGGAAGACAACAAAUAUAACAAGAGAAAAACAGCACCCAGAACAAAGAGGUUCUUCAAAAUUACCAACUAGUGGGUUGUGCCCGGGGAGACUCAGAAAAAAAGCUAAAAAAUAGCUCAUCAGCAACAAGAACAAUCCCUUAAGAACUCACUAAAGCUGCUUAGAAAUCCAUCGUAGUCUUCAAGUUUGAAGCCAUCCAGGCAAUCCAUAAGAAGGCAAGCCAAACACCCAAGUCCAAAGGCAACCAUAAGAAGAUCAUCGGACAAAGGAAGAUAGACAAAUGACAUCCAAAUUGGGCCACUUCCAGACUGCAUUUUGAAAGAUAGUAUAAAUAGAUUGAUGUUGGAUAACAUCAUAUUUGCAACCCAGAUGAAGAAAUAAAGAGCCAUCACUAAAGGCCACUUAGAUGAUGGAAGAGGAAAUAAUGCACCAUGCAACAUUCCCUAAUAGAGAGCCAUAAUUUGAGAAAACUAAGUAGACUCUUAUUUCCACAUAAAAGAGACCAAGCAUUGAAAAGUUGUAGUGAAGCACGAGCGACUGAUGGUGCGAAAAGUAUUUAUUCAAAAAAUUCUUGGAGUUUCUUUCCUUCCAAAUUGCCCACAAAAUAGUAGCAAUGAGUAUAAAGGCAGCAUAUUUUGUGACCUUCAAAAAAGAAGCACUUAACCAAUUGGAACAUAAGGCCAAAAGUUGAUCAAGAGGUGAGUUGAUAUCUAGUAAAUAGCAAAGGUUAUUCCAAAUAAAGAGUGAAAAUGGAUAGGAGUAAAAAAGAUGAUCAAAAGAUUUAUUUGAUCCACCACAAAGAGAGCAACCACCUAGAAAUUUGUUGAGUUUUCUAUCCAAUUGUUAUUUGGUAUUAAGCUUAAAGCUUUGAGAUGGCCAAAGAAAAUGUUUAUCUUUGGCGGCAGAUUUUCCUUCCAAACCAACUUAGCAGGUCCCCAUUUAAUACCUCCAAGGAUCAAAAAAUUAUAGAGAGAAGUAGUUAAGUAAGAGGCAUGUUUACAUAGCCUCCAAAUGAGCGUAUUAGAUUCAAAAGUAAAUCAGACAUUUUGCAGCAAAUCAAGCAAUUGAAUUUUCUUCGACCUAGCUUCAAGAGAUAAAUUAAUAGGGCAGAAGAGAUUCCAGGAGGCUGGCUGAGUCCAGAAAAAAUUGCCACAGUCCUAGAUUUCUUCCUAAAGACUUUAAAAAGAGAAGGAAAUAAUGUAUAAAGUGGAGAGUUAGAGACCCAAUAGUCCUUCUAGAAUAGCGUAGUAAGCUCAUUACCAACACUAUAGUAGGAUGUAUUCCAUAGAUAGGCAAAAAAGCUUAAAAUUUUAUUCUAAUGAAGAGACAAUCUCUUCUUAGAUUUCUAACUAGUAGAGAGUUUAACCUUUUUGAAGUACAAUUAAGAAAUGUGUCUACUCCAAGGGCCAAGCUCUUCUUUCAAAAGCCUCCAACCCCACUUAACUAAAAGUGUCAUAUUAAAGGAUCCAAGGUCUUUAAUUUCCAAACCACCCUUUUCUUUAGAGACAUAUCUUAUCUCAACUUAUCUUGCAAGAAGAGUCAGAUUCGAGUCCACAGGAGAGCCCGAUGCAGCUUAUGAAUUCUCUUGAUCAACAAAAUAGGCAGCUUAAAUAAGGAUAAAAUAAACAGGCAAAGCAGAUAAUGCCACAUUAAGAAGAGUUAAUUUUCUACCAAUAGAGAGGAAUCUUUUCUUUCAUCUUGCUAACCUUCAUUCAAACCUUUGGAUUAAAGGUAAUCAGUCAUCUUUAGAAAGUUUCUAGCCUUUAAAGGGAGACCCAAAUAGGGCAUAGGAAGAGAGGUUGUCUGGCAGUUUAACCAAUCAGCAUGUUUAAGAAUAGGACCGGGCUCCUUAGCCAUCAAAGCCGCAGAACUUUUGGAAUAGUUAAUAGCAUGGCACAGGAUCAUCACAAAGCAAUAAAUGAUGAUCUUAAGAAGAGAGAUAUAGUCGUUUUCUGCCUCGGCAAAGGUUAAAGUACCAUCCACAAACUAAAUUUUUGAUCCACCAAAGUAUCAAGGAUUGACUAAUCCCUUGAAGAUCUUAGAUGAGGCAGCUUUAUUGAGCAUCUUAGAUAAAGCAUCCAUAACAAGAAUGAUUUGAUAUGGAGAGCAAGGAUUACCCUAUCUAAGUCCACAUUUACAAGAGAUCUAUUUUUCCACAUCACCAUUGAUAGCAAUAGCCACCUUUGAGAAGAAAAGAAUAUUAUGUAGCCACCUAAUCUGUCUCUUUGGAAGCCUGUAAAUUUGAAAAGCUUUAGAAGAUAGUCAAUGUUUAGCUUAUCAAAAGCUCGAACAAAAUCAAGCUUGUAGAUGACACCAUCAACUUUGCUUUUUUCUUCCAAAAUAGAUCACCUCAUUUUCACACAAUAUGUUAUCAAGUAUUGAUCGAUCUUUAAUAUAAGCCAUUUGUGCUUCACCAACAAGAAGUCCCAUAAAAAAUUUGGAUGGAUGGCCAAGACUUUAGUGAUAAUUUUUAGAUAACUAUAGGUGAGGCUAAUUGGGCGAUAAUCCGAAGGGGAAGCAACUGCUUCUUUCUUUGGAAUUAAGGCAAGAAUAGCAUAAUUGAGGUGAGAUGUAUUAAGAUUAUUUUUAUGAAGUUGCUGAAAAGGAAUGUGAAGGUCAUUACUCAUGAGAUCCCAAGUGGAAGAAAAUAUAGAAAAUCCAUCGGGCGGGAGCUUUUAUCUCCCUUGAAAUUAAACACAGCCUUCUUAAUUUCAUUAAGCGAGAAGUGGGUGCUAAGAGUGCUAAGAUCAGGAUGCAUAUUAGAAUAGAGUUGCCCCUAGUCUAGAUCCACAGAAUGGGUUUUUGGCUUGGUAAAAAAUUGUCUUGAAGUAAGAAGUAAAUGCAUUCUUGAUUGCACCAACACCUACCAGAUAAAUCCCAUUCCAAUUAAGCUUCUUAUUAAUGUUGGCAAUUUUAUAGAAGAAGGUAGUGUUAAGAUCCCCUUAAGCCAUCUAACUUUUGAAUGUUGUUGCUAAUAGAUUUCUUCAUCAUGAUAAGUUCUGAAAAUAUCUUUCUUGUAAGAAGAGCGACACUCCUUAGAGGGUGAGAGAAUAGAAAUUUCCUCCUUAUAAUUAAGGUCAAGGAUUUUUUGAAUGAGAGAAUCUUUUAGAAGUUGAUUAGAGAUUCUUAACUCGGAGCCCCUUUUCAUGUGAGCAGCUUUAGUAGAUCUGAACUUCACGACCAAAUUUAUAGUAACUUUGAGGAAGGAAUGAUGGAAGUCCAAGCAUGACAGACCACCUCUUUAAUAGAGUCUUGAAAUAAUUAGCUUCUAUCAAAUUUAAACUAUAGUUUUCCUUUAAGAUUGUAGAGAAAGGAAAAUGGGUGCAUGAUCCAAGCAGAGAUUCAUCAGGACUGAUUGAGUUAGGAGAGGGCAUAGAGUCCAUUCUAUAGAGAAGAGAAACUUAUCAUGCUUUGCGAUAAUUGGAGCAUCUCUAUGAUUACUUCAAGUGAAUUCUUACCUAUUAUAGCAAGACACAAAAUAAAAGAGAAAUUGAAGAAAAGAAAGAUCAAUACAAACUUAGGAUUUAUAUGAAAAAUCAUCUAAAAAAUCAAAAGAAAAAAUUAUGGGCACAAAUAGUUGGAGAUUUUUUACUAUCUUCAAUAUUGAAGAUUACAGAGUACAAGGAUAAAAAUUUUCAAAAAUUACUUGCACAUCAAAAGAUGACAUAUCUUACCAAAAUAGGUAUAUAGAUAUAUCAAUAAAAUCGGAUCAGAAUAUAGGGGUUCCACCCCCACACCUUCGAAUUUCAAUUGAAGCACCACAUCAGAAUGGUUUUCAACUUAGACAGUCUAUUGUGUAUUUUGACAAUCAUAGUGCUGUAUGCUUGAUAAAGAAUCAUAUAUACCAUAAGAAGACUAAACAUAUCUAUUAAUAUAGAUUUUCGUCUCGAGAUCGGAUCAGCUAGAGUUAGAUGGCGACGACAGGUCGGCAAUAGUCAGAUGGCGGCGAUAGGAUCUGCAAGAAAAGUCUUUAACCAGAUGUGGCUCCGACAGAGACCCUCUGACGCUCAAGUCAGAAAUCCAACAACAGAAGAGAAGUGAGCAUGUUAGGAGAGAGGAGAUUUCAUACAUGGAGGGUCCCUCUUGGCUCUUUAUUUAUGGACAGAGGCUGGAGAACCGUAGGAGGAAGGAGGAUCAGACGGUUAAUCUUGCUUUAUUGGACGAGAUAUGGCCGUUAUCCUUAUCUUAUCUGGAGAGAUUUUAUUUGUUAUUCAUCUUUAUCUACACUACUACCGGUGGUUGUUUGAAUUUUUGAAAGAAGCCUGAGAUUUGAGGAUUCAUGAAGGUCAAUCCUUGUAAGCUUCACGUCUUUGGCCAGGAUGAAAUUACCCCUAAUAAUAUUGAUAUUAGAUUUCACUUGAUUUGAGAAGUAAGUUAGAAAAUAAUUUUGAUAAGGUAAGUGAGCAUAAAUGACAAUCUUGCAGACAUAUUGAUAAAGUCCAUAACCAUAAGCAAGUUCAGGCAUUGCUUGGACUUGGUUAGAGUUAGCAGCUAUUGAGAUGGAGCCCUUAGGGUUGAAGUGGAGUUGGUGAGAGGUUUAACAUUUUAUGUAACUUGGCUAAAUAGAAGUCAAGAUAGAGAUUUAUAGAGGUGUCUUGCACUUUGAUUAGCAUUAGUCAUAAAGUUAAUAGAGGCAUUUCUACGAACCCGAUCCGAUUUUAUUGAUAUCUUUAUGUAUCUGUUUUGAUGAGAUAUAUUACCUUUAGAGGUGUAAGUGAUUUUUUAGAGUUUUUUGCCAUGUACUAUAUAAUCUCCAAUAUUGAAGGCAGUAAAAAUCUCCAACUAUCUCUUUGCAUGGUUUUUUCUUUGAUUCAGAGGGUUUUCCAUAUAAAUCCUGAGUUUGCAUUGAUCUUUAUUUUCUUCAAUUUCUCUUUUAUUUGGCAUUUUAUUACAAUAUUAUCCUUUUAGAAGGAUAUCGAAGAGUUAUAAGCAUCUAAGAAGAUCAAAAAAGGCAAAAGUAACCAUCCUAGUUUGAAGGUUUUCCUUUCUUUCAUGAGAAAGAUAAAUGGCAUUGAAAUCACCAUCCAAAGUUCACAGAUCACUGAAGGAGCUUCAAACAUUCUUCAGUUCUUCCGAAAUGAUAGGUUUAUGGGCUAUAUACAAAUACACCAAGGGUGGUUGAGGAUUUCAUCAAACCAUUGGAUUGUGAUAGAGGAGUGGAAAAUCUCAGUUUGUAAGAUCAAUCUUAUCGAGUUGUUGCUAGGAAGAAUGCCCCCAGAAGAUACAAGAUUGUUCAGAGAGGUCUAGUAGUCAAUUUGGCCAUUGGUAAAGGUCUAAGUAUUGCAUAAAAACAUGAAUCAAUUUGAUAUCUAUAAGGCCAACCAAGCAAUAGUUAGUAGAGAUUGUUAAAUCUCUGACAACUCUUCUCUCAAGGGUGUCACCCAUACUCCUAACAUUCCAACUAAGGAUGGAAAUGGCAAGAGAAACCAAAAAAGAAAGCAAAGAGGCCACUGACAGAGAUAUAGACGAGUUAGAGAAUAUUUACUGAUAGCCAUGACUGAGUUAGAUAUUAGUAUUUGCUUUAUCAUCCUCAAAUCUGAGAAUCAGAUUAACCACUUUAUCCAUCUCAAUAUAUGAUAUUUUAUUGCACAUUAUCUCGCUCAAGAAAGAAUAGUAUCAAAUUCAAGGGAGUGAAGAGGUUUGGUACCCCAAGAAGAAACAAUAGGUGUACUAAAAAUAGAACAAAGACCGGUAAUAACUGAAUCACAGCAAUUAACUCUUUCUUUCUAAAGGAGAGAAGCUUUGAGGUGUGGCUUCUCUGAUUGCCAAAUGAGCUUUGGCUUAUUGGUAGUAUUUAGAUCCCUCAAGGAUUGUAGGGAUAGAAAAAGUCUUGGAAGAAGCUGCUAGGGGUUGUAGACCCAGACACUAUUCCAUGAAGGCUGACUCGGAACGAGAGAUCCCUAGAUUAUGAGCAUUAGAAGGAAUCAAAUGCAAAGGAGACAAGCAGCAUAUGGUAGAGUGAUUCUUAGCUAAGGCCAAUUUCUCAAAAAAAUUUAUGUCUAAAUCCAAAGAAUUGGAUUGGUUUUCAAAUGAGCCACACUUAGGGUUUGCUAGCACCAAGGAGGAUGAAUCCUCAUCUAAAAUGUAGGACUCAAGCGAUUUUGAAUUCAAGUCCAACUCUCUAUAUCUAUACUGACUCGACAUUUGCUCUAUCAAAAAUUAUAAUGAAUCAGGUAAUAUAGUCCACAUCCACUAUAAGAAAAUACUCAAUCAGGGACAAAAUAAUUUUCUAUGAAUCAUAAUUUGUUGCUAAUAACCACCAUAAGGUAACAAAAUAAAAGGUUUGUCAUGAAAUAUCAUUUAAAUAAUAUUUUUGGUAAUGAAAUUAUAUUUCAUUACUAAUUUUUGUCAUAAAUUUAUGGCGGCAAAUCUUCCCACUUCGACUUUUUGGUGAGAAACUUUUGGUAAUCAUUUUCUUAAUGAAAAAUUAUUGUCACAAAAAUCAUAAAUUUUAGUGAUGAUAUAUUUUUGUUAUGAAUUGAUUAUUAAUUUUGACGAUGAUGUUAGAAUCAUUUCCAAAUAUAUAUUUAUGGAUAUAUAAAAUUAAUAAAUAGUAGUAAUUUUUUUUAAUAAAUUUAAUUCAUCACUAAUAUUUCUCAUAUUUGAUAUUAAAAUUAUAUUUCAUCACAAGUAGAUCAUUAUUUUUUGAUGAUGAUGUCAUCUCAUACCAAAUAUUUAUUUAUUGAUGACGUAUAUAAUUUUAUCAUAUAAUAUAGAUUAUUUAGUAAAGAAAUAGUAUUUCAUCAUAUAUUUUUCAAUAUAUAAAUUUAUAACAUAAUUUUUUUUACUAAUUAUCUAAUUAACUUUUAGUAAUGAUAAUUUUUUAUAGUUAAAUAUAUUUUUAUUGACAACAUAUAUAGUUUUGUCAUAAAAUACUAACUAUUUAAUGAUAAAAUAGUUUUUAUCACCUAUAUAAUGUUAUAUAGCUUUUGCGAUGGAAUAGUUUUUAUUACAAAUUAUUUAUAUAAUUUAGUGACAAUAGUGUUUCAUCAUUAAAUAUAUAUUUAUCAAAAAUAUAUAUAGUUUUAUAUUUUUAUUUUUGUCAAAAAGAAGAGGAUUAAAUUUUUUAUAAAAGUAAUUAAUUAUUAAAAUAUAAAAUAUCACAAUAUAUUUGAAAUAAGUAUAUUUUAUAAUGUAAAUAUAUUUUAAAUAAGUAUAAUAAAGUAUUAUAUUAUAUUAUAAACUAAUAUUAUCAUAAUGGUUGUGUAGUAGGUUAUAAACUAAGAGGUCUUAGGUUCAAAUCUUCAUAUAGGGAUAUAUCUUAGGAUAUAUGAAUUCAAUUGUGAAAAUAUUUUUAUCUCUAGCACAUAAUUUUAAGUGAUGAAAUAAUAUUAUUGCCAAUAGCCAUCAUUUUAUAAUAAAAAGAAUUUCAUUACCAAAAUAUUUUAUGAUAAAAUUACUUUCAUCAAGAAAAAAAAUAUUUUUGCAGCAAAAGAUAAUGCACGUGACCUUUAGAACUGAUUUUUUUAUAACAAAAUAGGUGUUUAGGCAACAUUGUUUACUAACUUUUGAUGAAUUAUUUUGUUAGGAAUCUAUAUAUAUUUAGUAUAAAUUUUAUUUUAUCAUAAAAUAUUUAAUAUUUUGUGAUGAAUUACUAUUUUCAUCAUUAAUGACUUUGAGUGAUGGGGCAUUGGCUACGAACCUGGCGACAAUUUUUUUCAUCGCAAAAUAUUUUACACGAUAAAAUUUAUUUUUUAGCAAUAAAUUUUUUUUAUGGCUAAAUGUAUACAUUCUUGUAGUGAUCAUCAGGUCCACCAAAUGAGGAGAUAAUAGUUUCACAUUGAAGAUCAGGACUAUAACAUUUGAAAGAAAGUGAGAACAAAAUGGUGCACCUUGCAAUGCAGCCAUAAGAUCGAUAGAGACAAUCGAAUAUAGUAGUAAGGCCAAAUCCAAUAAAGAUUUAGAAAAGAAAUGAGAAGAGAAAACUCAACAUGGUCUGACAGCCUCAAGCUCAAGAGAGCUUGAUCAAUUAGACUGAAUUGGAGAGAAGAUCGGCUCAUUAAUAACUAUUUCACCACCAUCGGCUCGCUGGCUUCACCAAGUUAUGACUCGGAGUGAGUCAACUAGCAGAUCUUACGAGUUUAACUUAGUAGAGAUGCCAAACCAAUUACUUGAAAUAAAAAUCGAUGAAGCAAUAGUAAUAGGAGGGACUACCUCUAAGAAAUUCUUUUGAGUUGCAGAACUAGAAGAUUCAUCUUUAUGAGCAGCUACGACUUUAUCAACAAUAAUUGCUUUACCCCUAUUCAAAAGGAGGCAAUAGGAGAUGCAAUAGAAGGGACAUUCCUUGGAGACAGAGGAGGAGAGAUAGAGAUCAAAGGUUCUCAAUCUUUAUUCUCAUCAAGCUCAGCCAUCUAAUUGAAGAAGGGGGUGAGAUCAGGAGCAGAGAGAAAGAGGAUGCCCUUACCUCAAGAAUAUAAAGUAUAAUAGGAUAAAUAAGAUUUUUGUAGUAAACAUCCACUUUUGGGGGGAUGAGAUUAGCAUGUUUGUACAGAAUGGUUACCAAAAAAAUCUUCAUGUCCAAAUUAGAGGAUUGAAAAAAGAUUUUCUGCAUUAGCCCAAUGCUAGAGACAAUUCUAUGGAUGGAUAGACUUAGCACUUCUAUAAAACAACAAUAAAUCUGAUAACCUCGAGGACAUACAUCUAAGAAGAGAAACUUCAAAUCCUCUAUCAAAGAUAGACCAUGGCGAGAUCGGGGAGGAGAAAUGAGGUGUAGUGAUAACAUCUUUUCUAUAAGCCAAGAUCACUUUCUUCUGGAAGCGAUGGGAAUUAAGAACCUAUUCUUUCCAAGAGCAUAGAGGUUUCCAAUCUUAAUCUUAAGGAAAGUUUCCAAUCCUUUAGCUAGUUGAGAGCUAGAGAUGUUAGACCCAUUUUUCAGAGAGACUCCACCACCCUAGAGUGAAUAGCCUCUUUAAAAUUAUCUUGGAGGUCCAGAUCCAGAGGGACACAAACUUUCGCCCUCUCAGGCCUCCCCAAAAUCUUUUUGUUCAGAAAAAAAGAAAAGAUAGUAGCUGAGAAGCACACUCGAGAAGAAUGCCUAUACUCUGCACAACAAAAAAAAAAACAAUCCAUUUUUGCAGAUGUUUUUAAAAUGUCCUAGCUCCCGACAUCUAAAGCAAGAGCCUUUUUUAAAGAAAAUAGACUUUGGAAAGGAUUUCUUCUCUAAAACCAUUAGCAUGUGUAUAUAAGGUGGCUUAGGAAUAGCCUCCUUAAAAGAUAUGGAUCCACCAUGACUCUGUAAUAACAAAAGUUGCCAUACUCUGACUUUUGAUAGAAGGGAGAGGAGGAAACUUUAAGGGAGUAAUAGUUUGAGAAUCUAUUAAUGAAGAGGUCAAGGGAGAAAUACUCAACACUCCUUUCAAAUGGAUAUCAAUGGAUUGAAAAAGAUGCCAACCUAACAUAGUGUGAAAAGGGCCACCAAUAGGUACAACAUUUGCCCCAAUAAGAAGGAUUGCCUAUUCAUCUUCUUAGAUGAAGCUCUAGGCAUAGGUUUCCAUCUUCUCACAAGGGAUCUUCCUCAAUGUCUUUCGCUGGAUUUUCUCUUCAUCUUCGCCCUCUGUUCUAAUGUUUGAUAAACUCUUUAUAACAUUUCAAUUAAAGAAAAUAUUUGCAGAUUUUAUUUAUCGAAAAGAAACUAAAUGCCUAUGUGGACUUGGUGUUUCUUCAUGGCUCUUUAAGGAAAUGGGUAUUAGAUUACAAUUGUUCUUGCUUAUUCCUUUCAAGAGUUCAUCAAAUAGGACUAAAAAUAAAUUGGCUUAAGGAACUAAUUGACCUUGUCUAUGUUCAACCUUUCCAUUCUUUUAUCCAGUACAAGACAAGAUGCAAUGUAUUGUGCAGAAUGGUUUGAAAGUGAUAUGCAUUUGCUAAUAUUAUUUGAUCAAACAACUUACUAGUGUCAUUAGAUUGAUUUGUCACUUUUGGGAGGAAUUAAAUAAAUAAUAAUGUAAAUUAUUUUUUCAUUGGGUAACAAGAUACAUAUUAUUAAAAGUUAUUUGAAAAAUGAUAUAAAAUUGAAGCACAUGCAAUACCAUUGAUUACCCUUUUCAAUGGGAUCAAGAGAAGAAGUGACAUGACUAUGCAUGCGCUUCAGGAGGAAAAAUGUAAUGAUAUUUUCUUAAUCAAUAGUCCCUAAUAUAAUUUUAUUAUGGGUAAUACGCUUGAUACUAAACUUGUUAACUUAUCACAAGAAAUAUUAAAAUUGUUAAAAUCUAUUAAUUAGGAAAUACAUGAGUUAUAUGGAAUCGGUAUCUCGUUGCUUAAACAAUAAAGGCCUUCAUCUUGUUCUCCAUCAAUCUUACUCUUUGUAGUUAAUUAGUGAAACACUAUGAUGGCAAAAAAUAUUUUGCACCCUUGUGACAUUUUCUAAAUAGAAGAUUUUGAGAGUUUAUGAAAUUGCAAUGAGGAAUACAAAGAUAAAAAAUAAGGUGAAUAAGACAUAACCACAUGAUCAACCUUACAUAAGGAACUCUUGCUGACAACAUUGAAAAUAUUGAACUAUUAUUUAUGGCAAAUACUAAGUGUUGUUCAUCUUAAAUCAUGUGAUUCCAGAAGAAUUAGUGGCCAAAAGAAGAUCUAAAAAUUACAACUCAUCUAUUAUCGAGUGAAGAUAGCGGACAUAGACAAGGUAACACCACUUGAUGAAGGUUGGUUCUUCAACAUCUAUUGAAAUUAGAUAUAAUCUUCUUGGAUAAAUCUGCUAUCUAAUCAUGUAGAUAAAUAAAGAUUAAUAUCUGCAAUGAGUUAGAUUGCUCUUUACAUUUGAGGAUUUUGCAAAAAUAGCCCACCUUAUCUUCUUUUUUGCAAAUCUGGGUUAUCAUUAUGUGCUUUCACAAAAGAUGUACCAGCUCCAAGUUUUUGGAUACUUAUUUUUCUAGAUCCAAACAAAUAUACUAGGAAGAUAUCUUUAAGUAAUUGUAAAUAUACAACGUAGACUAUGAUCCUGUUGAUUGGAUUGCAAGUUAGAUCUAGUCAAAUGAAAUCAAAAAAUAAGGGUUCGAUAUUGAUGAUCCAAGUGCUUGAAUGAGAGCUACUAUCUUAAAAUUUCUACUUACAUACCAAAAAUCACAUAAUUUGAAGAACAUUAACCUAUGUCUCAAGUGGUCAAUAACAAGCAUUGAAUUAUGUCAUUUAUACUAUUUAUUUUUGACAACUUGUUGGAUAGGUAGAAAUUUAGUUGGGAGAUGUAGGUCAAUUUAGUGGCUCUUGGAUCAUUAUUAUGGCACUCUAAUUUCAUCUAACUGCAUUCAACUUAAAAUCUAGUCAAUCUGAUCCUAAUUCACCUCAUAAAUACGUAUGUUUGAUAGUAAUUUGACAUAUUUUGAUAGCAAAUGCACAAAGAUUAUACAUAUUAUUUAUAUUAGAUGCACCUUUGUUUGGACAUACAUUGCACAUUGAUGAACUUGGUGUAUUUAUCAGAUCAGGCUCAAGUGUUUGAAAUAAGAUUAGCCUCUCUUUGCAAAAUAAAAAUAUUAAUGUGGCUUGUAUAAGCAAAUAUAAUAUCUUUGUAAUUCUUUUUACAAAUAUUAGCAUGUAGUGCUGGCAAUAAGAAUCCAAAUUAAUUAACCCACCUUGCUUGACUCAAGCCUGACUUGUAUAUUCUGAAUCAUUUCUUCCACUAAUUGGCUUUUGGUGAAGCAAUAUCAACCUAUAGUCUAUAUCAGCUAGUUUAGGUCAGGAUUAUUCAUGUCAUUGGAUUGUGUCUAAUAUGUUAUAAUUGUAAUAUACUAAACCAAUGAAAUUUGACUCUUUCUUGCUCUAGUUUCUCAAUCUUCUUUCUCCUCUUUUAUCUCUUUUCCCGUGAUGUGUCUCUUGUCCUCUCUUAAGGGUUGCAACUUGGUGGUUUGGAUUAAAUUUAGAGCUGAUCCUAAACUAAUCCAACCUUGGGUUUGGAUUUCUCUAACUCAACCUAAUCUCUUCUAUAGCUAUAUUCAUGUCGGGUCAGGUUAGUUUCAAGUAUGGCUAGUUUUGUUGCAAUAGUUGAGCUAGAUUGGUAGAAGUAUAGGUAAAUUUAAGACUGCGGAAAGAUUUUGAGCAUUUUUAUUAUGUAAACAUAUUGGUUAGGAUCUUCUUCAUAUGUAAUUAUAUAAUUCUAUAACUUAAUAAAGCUAAAUAUAUGGUUUAAUUCAAUAUAUUUGUAUUUCAUGUGAAACAUAUAUAAGCAUGUAUUCAUUUUUUAGGUUAGGUUGUCUAAGUUAGAUUUGGUUUAUGAUGGGUUAGGGUUUGGUAAACACCCAACAUGAGUGAAUUUAGCUUGCGAUUUUAAGCCUAGCCCAAUCCAGAUUUGUAUAACCUUAGCAUAACCAUACCCAACAAGAAGGUUUGAAUGGUUGGGUUCAAGCUACCCUAAGCUACAUUCCUAUCUCUUUUGCUCUCCCUCCUUUCCUCUCAUCCUUGAUGCAAUUUAGCUUUGAAUUAGAUUUUAAUUGAAUAUUUUGUGUAGUUAAUUUAUUGUUCUAUAGUCUUCUUUUAGUUGCAAUUGGGACGUGCAUGGUGCAUGUUCAAAAAAAGAAAUAAAUAUAAAAUUUUAAGAAUAAAAAAUAAAAGGAGAACAAUAAGAUCUUUCUUAUUAUGUAUUGUCUUUUGUCAUCAAAGUUUAUUGUACUUAUCAAUACCGUAUCGUACCGGAUGUAUUGUAUUGUAUCGGACAUAUCAUACUAUAUCAGGCAUACUGUAUUGUAUCAGACAUAUUGUAUUAUACUAAUAUUGAAUCAAUAUAUAGUCUCAUAUUAUAUUAACACUUGGUACAUCUCGCCUUCUCAUAUUAUACCGUGCACCAAUACUGUAAUAUGAUGGUAUCAAUAUGGGUCGUGGUUUGGAGAUGGCUAAUCUUAGUUGUCAUUCUUAAAAAGAAUAAUUAGAAUACGUAAUGUUUGGACCAAAGAGAGAGAGAGGCAUUAGAAACUCGCAUACCUAAUAAAUAGAGAUUGGAACCCAAUUAUAUUUCUUUCCAUUUUUGAAGAGACAAGGUUUCCUUCUUUUUACUACUCAAAAAAAGUCAAAAUUAUUUAAAUAUGAAGAAGUAAUAGAUUUUUGAAAAUUGAAAGGAUAUUUUUAGUAAAAAAAUUUUAGAUAGAAUUAGAAUAAUAUGUUCUCCAAUUUCAAAAUUAUUUUUAAUAUACUAUAGAUAUUUUGUAUGAAGACUAUGUUUUUUGAUAGAUCAAUUCUAGUUUACUUUUGUAGUCAAUUUUUUAAUCUAUGUGAGUAAAUAUGUUAUCAAUUCCUACAUUAGUUCUAGGGUUUAGAAAUAUUUUCAAGCCUUUGAAAUAGUUUUCUGAAUUACUUUUGAUGGCAUCUUGUAUUGUGCUUAUAUUAACGAAAUUUUGCUAUCUUUAGAUUGUGUAUAAAAUCUUAUUUCCUUUUUAUUUCAUCCUAAGACAAAAGUCUAGAAUCAUCCAACCUAAAUAAAUAAACCUAUAUAGUAAGUCAUAUCAUGUCUUAAGAUAUGAAUGAAAGAGAAUAUUGGCCAUUGGGACAUGCGAGGAUAAUAAUGAAUCAAGAAGAAAAAGAGAGAAACACAGGAAUAUAAUAUUUAUGUGGUUUGGUCUCUUGAUUUAUGUCCAUGGAUAGAGACAAUACAAAUGUUUUACUAUAAAAAAAUUAAAGAUUAUAAUAUAUGAGGUUUCCUCUCAUCUUUUAGAGUUAGGACACACACACACAUAUAUGAUAGAGUAAGUCGCUGUGCACUCAUAUAAUCAUGUAAGUCCAACUUGUGGGGGCUACACCCCUGAACCACCAACUAACUAAUCAUGUGGCCCAAACAAAACAAGUAUCGCGGCCCAAGGGGGGAUCUUUUUUCCUCCACUCCACUCAUUUCACUUGUUGCGCUACAUUCCACUUGCUUCACUCACUCUCUUUUUAUCUUCGUAAAGCUUGUAAACUCAAGAAAUACUCAAUAGAAAGUAAAGAGUAUAAUGGAUCAUGCUCAUGAAUAGAAAUUAUGAUUGUUUUCUAGUUAUAAGCUUUAUGUAUCUUUUAAUGCUUUUGUUCGUCGAUCAGUAUUUAGGUGUUCUCAUAAACUAUGAAAAAUGAACACUUUAGGAGCUUGUAUCUUUUUCCUACUAUUUUUCUGCAUAAAAUAUUGAAAUAAAUUAAAGUUUAUUCAUAGUAGGUUAAUGGAUCCAUUGUCAUUGGGUUUCCUUUAUGAUUACUAAGAUAGUGAUGAACGUAGAUUGGAUGAAAGAUUCCUAUCCAUAUGAUCAAUGGACGUGGGAGCAAUACAAUAAAAUAUAUAAGAGAUAAAAUGUAAUUUAGCACUAUAUUGAACUAGUUUAGUUAUCAAACAUAUCAACUUUCAAUGAAGUGAGUAGAUUUGUUGAAUUUUAUUAAGUCAAUGGCGAAUUGUUAGUAAUUUUAUUUGCAUCCGAUGAUACAAAGGAUAGCUAACCUGCAAAUCAAGAUCGAAAGUGAAAGAUCCUGAAGUUUCCAUAUUUGAACACCUAAUAGACUAGAAAAUUAGUGAUUAAACAUCCAUGGAUAUCUUGAUUGAAUAUCACCAUAUUCUUAUGGCUAAAAUUCUCCCACAAAUGUCAACCAUAAAACUUUCAAAUGUCAAUGAUCUGCUAUGAUGAAUUCUAGACAUCGGCUUAUCCUGAGAGUUACUAGUUACAUAUAUUUUUUCAAUUUCUCUAAUGCUAUUUCAACAUUUUACUGAUGUCGAUCCUAUAGAUUAUUAUUUGGCUUAAGAUCUGUUGAACAAGGUCUUUGGUAUGUUAAUCUAAUAAUUUGGUAGCUCAAAAAGUUUAAGUUGAUAUCCAUCAUUUGUCAGGAUCGUAGCCCCAAUCAUUUUGCCAAAAAGGGCACCCCUAAUGGAAUGGUGGUCUAUUUUUCUUUAACCCGAGUCUAGAGCCUAGCGGUAAGCACACUGGCGGGCCUAAAGGGCUUUGCACCUGGGUCGAUCUGCUUCAAGCCAGAUUGAACCCGUGCGUCGAGCCGGAUAGCUACUCCCAUUUAAUCAAUUCCUAAUCCGAUUAGCUGACCCACCCCCAUAAGUGAGCCAACUAACAGAGAUUACCACGUGGAGUAAGUAGCAUGACCCAUCUAGGCGGCAUGGCCUCUAACAGAUUCGGCCCCACAGGGUUCGCUGGAAAAUCUACAUCAACAAUCCCCCCNNNNNNNNNNNNNNNNNNNNGCAUAACCUGGGGGGGUGUACGAGAUUCGAACCUACAACUUCACUUUGAUACUACAUGUUAGGAUCAUAGCCCUGACCAUUUUGCCAAAAAAGGCACCCCUAAUAGAAUGAUGGUCUAUUUUCCUUUAACCUGAAUCCAGAGCCCAACGAUAAGCACGUUGGUGGGCCUAAGGGGCUUCGCACCUGGGUCGACCUGCUUCAAGCCAGAUCGAACCCAAGCGUCAGGCUGGGUAGCUACUCCCAUUUAAUCCAUUCCUAACUUGAUUAGCCGAUCUACCCCCAUAAGUGAGCCAACUAAUGAAGAUUGCCACAUGGAGUAACCAGCACGACCCAUCGACGACCUCUAACGGAUUUGGCUCUACAGGGUGCGCUAGAAAAUCCACGUCAACAUCAUUGAUUUUAGAGAUCAAAAAAUGGAUCUAACAACUAUGCAUCACUAAAUAGUUUGUACAGGUAUCCUAUCUAUUAGAGAAAUAAAUGAUGCUUUUGUAACUUUGCAAGACCUUUCAUGCUACGACUCCAAUAAGUCAUUUUAAUUAGGGAAUAAGGAUACACCUUUUUCAAAAUAAUAAAAAAAAUAUAAAUUUGUUUAAUAUACUCUAAUAUCAUUCUCUAGUUUUUCUUUUCAUGUUAAUCAACUCCCCCCCACUCCCCUCCAAAAAAAAAAAGAAAGGAUAAUGACUAUCUACAUGCCCACAACUAUUAACACUCACCCAAGUACCCAUUCAAAUAUAACAUGCAUAGCUACAUUACUUCACAUUUGUCAUUUCCAUAUAUGAACCCUUGCACCCACACCUCCACUAAUUGAGCCAUGAUAAGAUCUCUUAAGUCAUCCACAUUUAAUCAAUGAUUUACAAGGAGGCUACAAUAUGCAAGUGAUCAAGGGAGUGCAUACUAUAUAUGCAUUACAUUGGCAUAAUGGUAUUAAGGUACAUGAGAUUGGACCAUAAGAAAAAAUUACAGUGUGCUCGAAAAAAAAUUUAAAAAUUUACUAUUAGACUUAUAAAUAUAAAAAUUCUUAAAUUUAGAAUCCUAUACUUAUGUUAGAUGUAUUCAUUUAUUUCUAUUCACCAUGUUUGUCUCAAGGUAUUGUAAAAUGUAUAUUUGCUAGAACAGUAGGAAAUCUUUUAAGAUUAUCAAAAUAGUUGAAUUAUUAAUAUUGUUGAAAUAAUUGAAAUGAAGAAUGAUUUUACAGCUAUCACAUGAGUGCCUAAAGGGAUGCAUGGGCUAUGGUGAUUGCCUCACCAAAGCUAUUUGACAACUCUAAAGGAGAGCUUGAGGUCAGACCAGAUAUUAUAAAAUUAUUCAUAUAUGGCCAGCUAUAAUGAGGUAGGAAUUAAGUUAUCCCUUGUUUUCUCUUCUAUUAACCAUGUUAUCAUAUAUUCUUGCUUAGUUUUUUCUUUAUUUUUAAGAAAAUAAGUGCAUAAUCCAAUCAUAUUCUUGCCUUCUUAUUUUAAAAAUGAAUUAGGUAACGUAUUAGGAUUGAUCAAGAAAUUCUUCUCAUUGUAUUUAAGAGUUUUCCCAUUAGAAAAAUAAAUUCAGAUAUUUCAUCUUCUUUAAGUUUCAAUUCUUUUAUGUUUUUUUGAUUUUUAUUGCUUGCAAAAAUAAAUUUUAGAUGUUUCCCCUAUGUCUCAAUUCUACUUUGUUUUUGCAUUAAUUGGAGAACAUUUUCUUGGUUAUGGAUUAAACCACACUUGUGUAUUUUAAGUUGAAAAUCAAAAAAUUUCAAAUCUCUGGUUAAUCUUUGAGGAUCUGAAUAAUGUCAUAUAUAACACGUAUAGAUUUGAUUAUCUGAUACAUAUGCACUGCUGAUAAUCUUAGAUUACAUUGUGAUGCUUGGAGAUUGCAGCUUGUUAAAUUGUAGAACUGCUGUAUUGAUAUUGUUAAGAUUUUCUUGUUAGAUAUUAAGAUUUAUAUAGAAAUUGUCCGACCAAAGGCUUUUUCCUUUAUUUUUUUUGAUUUUUUCAAAUUAUUCUGAUAUGACUAAGAUGUGCUUGGCAUAGAUUUUUGAAAUUAUAUAUCGCAUAACCUACUUUGGAUAUUGAUAGAUGGUAAAAGUUUACUUGGGAUAAAAUCUUUCACAGAUUUCAAUGGCAUAAGUUUCAUCCAUUAUUGCUCUCAUGGUUAAGUCACAGUAUCAUAUAUAUCAGUUCAAUAUUAUUGUACGUAUAUAUUUUAUAACAACUAAUUCAAUAUUUUGAUGUACUUUUAGCAUCAUAUAUCAAUUUAGUAUUAUUGUAUGCAUAUAUUUGAUCACAACUAAUUGAGUAUUUUGAUGUACUCUUGGCACCAAUAAAAAAUAAAAAAAUUGAAGAUAAUUUCUAUUGAAUACAGUUGUUCAUGUUGAUUCAACAAGAGUAAUUCAUAUGCUUUGUUUAUACACGAUACAAAUGCUUGUAGGAUAAUUUUCUGAUAUGUUUGAUGCUUAUGUUAAAUAUCCUAUUUUUACAAUUAAGAAAGCCUUCUAGAUACUUUGAGAUAUGCUCAAGAUACUUCUCUAAGAUUUUUCUUUAUUUUUCUUUCAAAAAGAAGAGCUAAGCAUUUAAUUUUGAAUGACCAAUUUUAGAGUUUAUGAUAUUGAUACUAUUAAAUAGAGUUAGGAUUAGGUUUAUGAAUUUAACAAUGAUUAAAUGAUGAGUUUGUAGAAGUUUAUGGAUGCUAUUUUGUAUAUUUACAUUUUUAUGCAUGCUUUUUUGUAUAUCUACAUUCAUAUGCAUAUGUUUAUUUUAAAUUCACAUAUAUUCCAGCCGUAUCAUAUCCUAUUUUUUCAAGAUUUGUCGUAUCAUAAUCGUAUCUGUUUCUUAUAUCUGUGCAUCUAUUUUUCAUAGGUGGGAAUGUGGACCACCAUUUUUAAAGAGCACAUCCUUAAAAAUUGGUAUACUAAGAUUAUGUUCACUUUGCCUGAAUUUGACAAUAUUGAAUAUUGAGAGGCCUUGUCUUGUUUAUACAUGGAAGUUAUAUAUGCAUUGCUUUUAUAGUUUUAUACUAAAUUCUUUGAGUCUUCUUUUAAAUAUUGAAUUUGUGCAUGUUGAGCUUCACCUUAGGUUAUUAUGAUGCAGUUAUAGUUGAUAUUCAAAGUAGAAAACAAACAAAGAACUUUCGCAUAGGUGUAAGUAUAGGGAUAUAUAUAGUUCAAUAUCGAAUUAAGAGAUGCCUUAUAAGGUAUAUACAUAGUUAAAUAUAUCAUUUUCAAGUGAUUACCAUAAUUAUUUCAAUAAAUUUAUUACUUGGAGUUGUUCAUUUCCUUGCAUCCAUGCACUCUUAUAGCUACACUUGUACCAACUUGCACAUGAUUGUGUGAGUACAUUGCACAUGUAUAUCUCAAGAUAUUGUAUUUGCAAAAAUCAGUAGAAUAACAUGCUAUGUUUUGGUGGUGCUGGCUUCAAUAUUAGUGCACUAGAUGGUGAGAGUAUACUUAUAGGUAACAAAGCUUCUUGCCGAGGCUUAAUAAUGAUAUGGGAGUGUUUGCAGCUAUUCGUGUCAUGUAGAAGCUAUCCAAGAUCCACUACCAGGUAGAAAAGUCGGAAUGUGGUUGUUCAUCUAGCCUGUCCUAUACUUGAUAGAAUAUUAUGGCUGUAAAAUUUUGAAGGCUUCACCAAAAUCAAAUGUUGAUAUUUAGUAUUAAGAUCGUAGCUCCUAAUCACUCUUCUAAAAGGUAAUUAUCCGAUUAAAAAAGAGAGAUUUAUUAGCCUUUAUCCACAAAGCACAGAAUCCUACGUCUAUAUGUGCUGCGGGUGGACCUGAGAGGCUCCGUACAGGAGUUGAUCUGCUUCAAGCUAGAUCGAUCCCAGUGGCAGAUGGAGUGGUCACUCUCUUUUUAAUUUUCCAACCGAAGCACAAGCUGACCCCCCAUAAAAGAUCAACCCUCCGAGAAUUGUUGCCACAUCACCAGCCACAUAAACUCCGCGUGGGGGCCCCAAAGGGUGUGCGCUAGAAUAUAGCCAACAAUCUCCUUCCCCUCCCUCGCGACUAUUUGAAGGGCCAAGUAGGAUUCGAACCUACAACCUUGCUCUGAUACCACAUAUUAAGAUCAUAAUCCUUAACCACUCUUCUAAAAGGUAAUUAUCCAAAAGGAGGAAUUUAUUAGCCUUUAUCCAUAAGGCAUAGAAUCCCGUAUCUAUAUGUAAUGCAGGUGGGCUUGGGGGGCUUUGCACUGGAGUCCACCCGCUUCAAGCUAGAUCGACCUCAGCGAUAGGUGGAGCAACAGUCUCCCUUUAAUCUUCCAACCGAGGGAUGAGCCGAACCUCCCAUAAGAGGUCGAUCCUCCGAGAAUUGUUACCACAUCACCAGCCACUUAAACGCCAUGUGGAGGCCUCGAAGGGUGUGCACUGAAAUAUAGACAACAUUUAGGUUACUCGAAAAUAUCAAGGAUAACCGGAUAUGGAGGGAGUUUCUUGUCCCCAAAGCAUGUGUUUUCAAAUUGUCAUUAAAUCUCGUGCAAAAGUAAAAUUUAGAGGAAUAUUGGUCGACUUAUGCAUCGAUAGUUGUAUAGGUGAUUUGUUGUACUAAUACAUUUGAUUUAUCUUGCUAACAUAAAUGACAUUCUCAAAAUUUUCAAUGAUAAAAUCUUCUACUAUUCUUCUUGAAAAUCGUGAUUUACUAUUUUUGAGGUGGAAUUAGAUUAAUAUAGUUGUAUUAUGAUUGUGUUGCUUAUGAGUACUUCUAUAUUUUUGUAUGCAAUGAUUAACAUCAUAGUUUACCAUGUAUUGGACUAUUUUAUCAUUAUUGUUCUAAUGUAGUAUCAUGUUACUUGAUAAACUCAAAUCAAAAUUGCCCAUUAAAUCUGUUGAACAUAUAGAACAAAGUUGUAGCUAGUUUAUAAUAUUGUACGUUGCUCUAGUCCCUUCGCAUUUCCAUCCAAUUCUUUAGGCAUGAGAAAAUCCAAAGAAAUACAAAAUCUCAUAGCAUAAUGACAUUGAAUAAGCAUUGAAAUUCUUAGUUACAUUGCUAAAAGUGGUUGAAACCUUAUUGAAGCAUAUAAUUUUGUGGUGAUUGAUAAUUAUACUAACCUAAUAAUUAGAUUAAUUUUCAAAGGUAGCCACUUCUAAAUAUCUGCAUUUAUGAGCUUCUUAGGUAUUAUAUAGCUCUAUGUUCAUAUACAAAAAAUCAUCAUCAAUGUCAUGAAUACUAAUUGUUGUAUAAAUUUUAAUAUUUACAAUCAAGGCCUUUUAAUAGAGAAAGUGUGGUUCCAUGGGAAAUACAAGAAGCUUAGAUAUUGAGCAAUCUUAUCUAAUGCGGUAUUAUUUACGCAUUGGGGAGAUUUUGGAUACAAGGUUAAAGUUUCGAUAGGAUGGAAGGUAUCUUAGCUAUCCUAUCCUAUUUUUGUGAGAAAAUAGAAUUAAGAUGGGGUCGGAACUCUGAAAUCCAUCCAUAUAGAGAGAGAAGAAGAAAAAAGAAAGAAAGAAGGAAGAAAAGAUAAAGAAAAAAAAAGCGAAGGAAAAGAAGAAGAGAAAAAAUGAAAGAAAGAAAGGAAUGGAUGAAAGAAGGAAGAAAGGAAAGAGAAAGAAGAAAAAAAGAAAAAAAGAAAGGUAGGGAUAAGGGAAGAAAGAAAAGAAGUAAAGAAAGGAAGGCGAAAAAAAGAGAGGAGUAAAGAAAAAAUAAAGAAAGAAAGGAAUGGGAGAAAGAUGGAGGAUAUUUAUUGAGUCACAUGACCGAAAUUGUCAGGAUAGGAUAGGAUAGCAGAACAUUUCAUUCUAUAGAGAAAUUGAAACGCCUCCAUCCCAUGAGAUUUAAAACCUUAGUUGGAUAUUUAGCUUUUGUGGAUGAGAUCCUAGAUCAUAAUAGUACUACUACUAUUAUCCUAUAAAUAUUUGUUGUCUGUUACUAUUAGCCUUUUAGCUAUAGUAUAUGUGCUAAUGUACAUGGCUGUCAAAAAAAUUAUACAUAAGAUGGAUGGACUUUAAAAAGUUUUUAAGAAGAUUAGAUGCUAAACAUAUCUCACAAGGUUAUCAAAAUUUUAUUUACUAUAUCAUGUUCUUAAUCUUUAUCACAUCUUACAAGGUUAGCUUUAUGGAUCUUUCUUCAAUAUUAUCAAUAAUUAAAAUCUUUAAAGGUAUUGAGUUUGUGGACUUAUAUCUCAUGAAAUCUUAGGAGGAUAUAUGAGUUCUUAAUUAUCCACAUGAAUUACUUGAAUGACUAAUUUUUGUUCUCAAAACAUUACCCAAACUGACUACUAGUUAUCCAAGUAUGCUUAUAAAUCACAGUGAUAAAAUUAUACUAUGAUAGUUGUUCAAAAUAAGCAGAAACUAGCCAAAACAUGAAAUUAAUUUUAUUAAUAGACUGAUCUUGGCCAAAAAAAUCUAAUUUGUUUCAAGUAAAAUAGAUUAGUUUUGAGCAAAAUAGGAAGCUUUGAUGCAUUCAUGAAUGCAUAUGGUAUGUUAAACACAAUUAUAUGCAUUUACAUUUGUAAUUUUGUUUGCACAUGCUUGUACAUGUGUGGCAUUUUUACAAGAAUUUCUUGUAAAUUUUCUAUACAAAUGGUGCUUAAUUGGUAGUAAUAAAGUAAGAUACAUCAGAUUGGAUCAUAAGGAAAAUUGUGGUGUGCUUAAAAAAAUAAAAAAAUUACUAUUAUAUAAUUAAAUAUAAAGGAUUUUGAAUUUGGACCCUAUAUUUUAGUUAGAUGUAUUAUGUUAUUUCUGUUCACCAUGUUUAUUUUGACAUAUUAUAAAAUGUAUAUUCGCUAUGAUAGAAGAAAAUUUGUUAGUGUUAUUGAAACAACAAAAAUGAAGAAUGAUUUUAUGGCUAUCAUAUGCAUGCCUAAACAACUAACUGGGCUAUGUUCUAUUGUCAAUGUCUCACUAAAGCUAUUUGACAACUUUGAAGAAGAGUCUAUCAUAAUAUAAGAAUUGAGUUACCACUAAUUUUCUUCUUCUAUUGACCAUGGUAUUAGAUAUUCUUGCUUUAAUUGCUUUUUGAUUUUAUAGAAAAUAUGUGCGAACACAAUCUAGGGUUUAGUAUCUUAUUUUGAAAAUGACUUGGGUAAGGUAUUAUGAUUUAUCAAGGAAUUCUUUUUGUUGCAUUUGAGAGCUUCCCCAUUACACUAAAAAAGAAUCCAGACUUUUCAGCUUCUUUAUUUUUCAAUUCUAGUAUAUUUUUGGCUUUUCUCCCUUACAAAAAUAAAUUCUAGGUGCUUCCACUAUUUCUCAAUUCAUUUUGUCUUUGUGCAUCAAUUUGAGAUGAUUUCUUGGCCAUGGACUUUUAGUAGAAAACCAAACAAUGUCAAAUAUCUGGUUUAUCUUUGAAGAUCUGAAUCAUAUCAUAUAUAACACUUAAAAAUUUGAUCUUCUAAGGCAUGUGUAACUGCCAGUAGUCCUAAAUUACAAUGGAUGCUUGGAGAUUGCAAAUUCUAUAAUUGUAGAACUAUUGCAUUUAUAUUGUAAAUAUUUGCUCACUAGAGUUUGGGAUUUAUGUAGGGACUUGCCCAACCAAAGGCUUCUCCCAUCUUUUUAUUUUUCAAAUUAUUCUGACAUGGCUAACAUAUAUUUAAUAUAUCAUAGAACUUAGUUUGGUUCUUGAUAGAUAGUAAAACCAUCCUUCAGAUAAAAUCUUUCAUCAAUUUUAUGAGCAUAGACUUGGUCUAAUAUUGCUAUCAUAGCCAAGUUGCUGUAUCAUAUAUCAAUUUAUCAUUAUUGUUCAUAGAUAUUUUAGAACAACUAAUUCAAUAUUUCGAUGUACUUUGAGCAUAAUUAAAAAUAAGAAUUGGCAGAUAAUACCCAUUGAAUAUAGGUGCCCUUUGUAAGAUAGAUUUUGUCCAGUGUGUCCUGGAGUUUUUUGUUUGAUCUCCUAUAUAUCCCAUUGAAGCUUUGAUAGAAAAUGGAUAGCAUGGAUCAAGGUACUACUUCAAUCAUCUAAUUCAGCAUUGGUUAUCAAUAAUUCUUUGGGAAAGUGGUGCCGUAACAAGAAGGGUCUAAAGCAAGUUAAUCCUCUCUCUCCCCUAUUAUUCAUUCUAGUAACCGAUUUCCUCACAAAAAUUAUGAAGAAAGCCAAUUCAGAAAAGCUGAUCUAUGGAAUUGGUCCACAUGGCUUAGAGCGGCUCACGCAGUGUCUACAAGUUGCUGAUGACACUCUGGUCUUUUGUAAAGUAGAUAAAUCAAACAUCAACUCACUCAAGUAAAUCUUGUAAAGUUUUGAAUUAGAAAUAGGUUUAAGCAUAAACUUUCAAAAAACUCAACUCAUCGGCUUGGGAAUCGAUGAGUAUUUAACUUUUAACCUUCGCUCAAUGCUCGGUUGUAAGGUAGCUAAGCUAUCCACUUGCUACUUGGGUAUUCCUCUUCAUCAUUCAAAGUUGAACAAAAAAAAUUGGUCCUUUCUCCUUGAUAAAAUAUCAAAGAAGCUGAGUGGAUGGAAAUGGAAGAUAUUGAUUCUUGCUGGUCAAAUUACGUUAACAAAUUUGGUACUUAGAGCCAUUCCCAUCUACUAGGAUGUUAGUGUUGAAGCUUCCUCCGGUGGUUAUUUGAAAAAUCAACCAUUUAUGCCGACAAUUUAUAUGGGAUAGCCAACAAUCUCAAAGCAACAUUAAACAUCUACUGGACUGGAAUCAAAUCUGCAGACCAAGAAGGCAUGGAGGAUUAGGAGUUUUAAGAAUCUCAUUACUCUCAAUCAGGCCUUCCUGCUCAAAUGGUGGUGGAGAUACUUUAACAAUCAGCAAAAGCCAUAGUGUCUGCUACUAAAAGCCAUUUAUCAUGCGAGAAGGUUGCCUAUGAAACUAUUGAGGUGCUUACUAAGAAUCACCUCACCUAUCUAAAGAAAUAUAUAUUAAACUUGUUUGAUCUGUUCAAACAGUAUUUUCACCCGAAGGUAGGCCAUGGGUGUCAAAUCCACUUUUGGCAUGAUAACUAGCUUGGGGAGAGCGAAUUAAAACUCUUCUUGCCUAAUCUAUUCUACUUUGCUAGAAACCAAAAUAGCUUGGUGAGAGAGUUCCUCCUUCAGAGCAAUUUCAAAAUGAAAUUCAGAUACCCACUAAGCCCGCAAGCAAUGAGGGAGCUCCAGAACCUUACAUUACUUCUCCGGUCUUCAUCUUUGUCCUCUGAUCCCAACAAAUGUAAUUGGAAGUAGAAUGCAAAUGGCAUAUAUCAAGUAAGACACUAUGAUAACUUUUUCAUGUACGGUAGAGUGAUCUCUCGCAUUGGUGAAUUCAUAUGCAAGCUUUCUAUCCUAGAGAAGGCUAAACUUCUCUUCUGAUUUUGUUAUCAUGACAAAAUUUUGACGGUAGAAAAAUUUAUCAGGAGAAAUAUCAACAUCAUAGGAAGAUACCCACUAUACGAUGAAAAUGAGGAAUCGUUGAACCACCUUCUGAUAUAGUGUGAUUAUUCCAAAGCCUUCUGGUCCACCAUUCUAUCAAAAUUUAAUGUUCCAGAACUACCAACCUCUGUCAUAGGAGUUUGGGAUUUUUUGGAGGCAUUUACAACAUAUGAACAAUAAUCGGUUUCCAGCUUUCCAAUGUUUAAUCGCUACUGGUGUGUGGUGUCUAUAGAAAAAAUGCAACCUCCAGAUUUUUCAUUUCUGAGCCACCAUGCCUCCUGCGGCGGUAAGGAAAGCAGUCAACUUGCCCAUUUCAGAGCUGGACUUCUAUCGUCUCUCAUCCAAAUGUUUGGCACCUGGUCAGUCAACUUGCCCAUUUAUCUAACACCAUUGGCAACCAGAGAAGUCUGUUGGGUUAAACUCUUCAAUGCUUGGUGAGCUUUAAGCAAAAGAGCCCUGCGUAAGAUAUCGUGCAUGGGGCGCAUCCUAGAGGCCGUCCUUCUACCCAAGGUGUUUCCAAAGUCUCAGUAUGUCACUUGUGGCCCUUUCAAUUUUUUGCUCCUUUUUGUUUGAUAAGACACUCCCAUGCAUUAUUUAGUUCUCUUGUUCAGAAUAGACGGGAAACAGAAUCUAGUCAGGCUAUUAUGUACUUUAUGUAAACCUCUCUUAAUAAUAUAAUAUUACUCGGGGGAAGUUCCUUAUUUUCACUUGGAUUCUCAAAACAAAGAAAAAAGAAUAUAGGUUUUCAUGUUAAUCUAGCAAAAGUAAGUUUAAUCCCUGCAAAUUUUUCCUUUCAAGGUAUUUGAUAUACAUGGUUACUGUCAUUCUACUGAGAAACACAUUAACCUAGUCUAGGUGCGAAAAUGCCAAGUUUGGAUCCAGGAAGAAAUGGAAAGAUGAUAUAUGAUGAUCAAUAAACAAAAUAGGGGGAAAGGAUAAUGAGGUGUGAUCCCUAUUUAUAAAACUACUGACAAAAUGCCGUCUUCAGAUGCCAAUUGACUGACGGUUCAUGUUUAGAAAGAAUUUUUAAGCAAGUAAAUCAAUUCAUGAUAAUAGAUAGAAAGUACAAACCAAAAGGAACGUAGUAAACAUUCAGAAAAAAUUAAUGAAAAACAAUAUCGAGACUGGUGAGGAGGUAGAGGGCUACAUAACCAAGGCAUGGGCUGAUGCUUACCACCUCAGAACCAUCCUAUGUAGAUACAAAGCCUAAACUUGAUCAUGCGGCUAGCAAGCCAUGUGCAUAUGGGGCCACAUAUGUGGCCAUCCAAGAAACAUAGAUGCUAAAUAUUACAUGCUUUAUUUGUAUCUGAUAAAAAUAGUUAUUGGAUGCUAUUGAGAAUUUUUUAAAAUCUCUCAUCUAAUUAUAAGAUAUUUGUAUAGUUUUCUAUUCUUUCUCUUUUUCUAAUGGUAGGAUAUUUGUAUAGUUUCCUAUUCUUCCUUUUUUCCUUAUUUCACUGUAAUCAUAUUUAAUUAUUCUUUAUUUGAUGAGAUUUGAUCUUAUCUCUUAUUUCAUAGGAUUUACACGAGAUUUGAUCUCUUAAGAAGAUCAUUCUUUUGUAUAUUUAUAUGGGAUUGAUUACCCACUAAAAAUAAGAAGUAAAUUACAUCUUUUCUCGUGGUAUCAGAGCUCUUUCCAUAGGGCCUGUUUUUCUGCUGCUACUUUUUCUAUUUGUCUUUAUCACGAAAGUUCACAGUCUUCAUUGCUAUUGGUCCCAUUAUCGUCGAUCUUGUUUGUCUUCAUCGCAGACAUCUUCAGUGUCGACUCCGUUUGCUUUGAUCGCAGAUAUCUUCAUCAUUCUCUGCCUUCAUCGCAGAAGUCAUCGUUGUUCGCAGCUUUUCUCUGUAGGCCAAAUCUAACUGCACUCCCAUUGUCAGUCAGUCUCUUUAUUGUUGCUGUUAUUUGAUUCCUUCUCUUAGUCAACAUGUCUAUAAGGCCAUGGCGUUCAGCCCUUUCGAAUCCAUUUUUAGGACAACUUAACCCACUUUAAAUGGUGAACUGCAGGUCAUGAACUCUUCCUAUCAUCUUGAUGGGAAGAAUUAUUUUCAAUGGUCAUAGUUGGUGAAAACUUUUCCCAAGGAUCUAUACCUGAAAAAUCUAAAAAAGCUGAAUUUCGAAAAUUCAACAAAGAAGAAGUUGAGAAAUUAUAAGAUUUUCUUAACUCUCUGUCUACUUCCUGUGGUUCAUAUUCAUUGGCUCAAUCUAGUAAGUGCCUUGUUUCUAAUUCUCUUAAUAUCGAUACAUUGUCUCAUUUCUCCUCCUAAGGACCUGACUCAGGAGCAACAGAUCAUAUAAGCCAUAGCCCAUCUGGAUUUGAGUCCUACAAAUUAUGCUUAGGAAAUCAAAUAAUUAUCGUGGCUAAUGGUUUCCCUAUUAUCAGAGCCGGCCAAGGCCAAAUUUCCUUAGUCCCUUCCUUUCAUUUAAAAAAUAUGUUACAUGUUACAAAAUUAUCCAUUAAUCUAAUCUCCAUUCAUCAGCUCAUCAAAAAUUUAAAUUGUUGUAUCACAUUUUUUGAUACCCAUUGCAUCUUUCAGGACAAAGUCAUAAAGCAGACGAUUAGAUCUGCUAAAGAACGGAAUGGCCUUUACUACCUUGAUGCUGCCAGUAGUUCAUCCACUCCUACAAACCAGUUCACUCUCUCCCACACAUCGUCCAAUUCUACUCAUCCUUUCUCUUCCAAUGAAUCUGAAAUUUGAAUCCAACAUCUUUGUCUUGGCCAUUCAUCUUUCCUUUUGCAAAAAAAUAUGUUUCUUUUAUUGUUCAAUAAUGUUGAUGUUCAAAGCCUUCAUUGCAAGACUUGUAAAUUUGGUAAACAUCAUCAUGUAUCAUUCCCUUUGAGUUUUAAUAAAUCUUCUAAACCUUUUCUCUCAUACAUAUAGAUAUUUAGGAUUCAUCUAGAAUUUCUACUUAUACUGGGGCAAAGUGGUUUGCAUCAUUCAUUGAUGACUAUACUAAGACCACGUGGAUAUAUCUUAUGAAGAAAAAAUCUGAGGUCAGCCAUAUAAUUCCAUCUUUCCACUAAAUGAUAUUGACUCAAUUCAGGGUAUCCAUACAAAAGAUUCAUUCUGAUAAUGCUCGAGAUUAUUUUAAUUUCACUCUUGCUUCUUUCAUAAAAAAAGAAUCAUUCAUGAAUCCUCUUGUGUUGACACGCCCCAACAAAAAGGGAUAGCAGAGAAAAAAAAUCGAUAUCUUCUAAAUAUCACUUGUGCCCCUCUUUUUUAUUCUAAUGCCUCAGAAUUUUUUUGGAGAGAUGCUGUCCUUACAGCAACUUUUCUGAUUAAUAGAGUCUCUUCACGUAUCUUUGGUAAUCAAUCUCCUAUUCACCUAUUGUCUACCUUUCACUUUGAGCUUCAUUAUCUGAGUAAUCUUCCUCUUCGCGUCUUUGGGUGUGUCUCAUAUAUCCAUGUUCAUAAACAACAUCGGGAAAAGCUUGAUCCUAGAGCUCUAAAUUUUAUUUUCGUGGGCUAUUCCAAUACACAAAAAGGGUAUAAGUAUUAUCAUCCUUCUACUCAAAAAAUGUUUAUCUCCAUGGAUGUCACCUUUAAUGAGAACCAAUUUUAUUUUUCCAAACCCCAUUCCCCUCUUCAGGGGGAGAAGCCUAAGGAUAGUUUGGAAUGGGUUGUCCUUGAUAAUCUUUGGAGUCUACAACUGAUACCUCUUCCACUUGAACUAUCCUCAUAUAAGAUGCCUCCUCCAUAUGAACCAUCCUCAUAUGAGCCAGAACAAGACACUAAAAAUCAGCAACAAAAGCAGCCUGAAUUACUGCAGUAUUCAUAGAGAAAAAAGAUGAUUUUCGAACCAAUGCAGACCCAAGACUCUAAUCAGGAUGAACAAGAGCCAGAUAAAUCAGUUUUUCUCACUGAUUCUAUUCUUAAUGAAUCUAUUCCUGAAGAGCCUAUUUCUCAAAAUCUCUAAAUCCUAAUUACCUUAAGAAAGGCCAUCAGAAAGUGCACUCAACAUCCAAUCUAUCCAAUUUCACUGUUUGUCUCCCUUCAUCAUCUUUCUUCAUAACAUAAAAGUUUUCUUACUACCCUAGACUCAAUUGAUAUCUCUAAAAUCAUACAAGAGAUAUUAAAGAACAAAAAUUGGAUACAAGCCAUGAAAGAGGAAAUGACUGCACUAGAGAAGAAUAAGACAUGGGAGGUUGUGACUGGGCCAAAAGGGAAACAACCAGUUAGAUGCAAAUGGGUUUACACUUUAAAAUACAAAGUAAAUAGAUCUCUUAAGAGGUACAAAGCAAGAUUAGUUACAAAGGGGUAUCCACAAAUCUAUGGGGUAGACUAUCAUGCACCAGUAGCAAAGAUGAAUACCGUAAGAAUUUUAUUAUCUCUUGCUGCUAUGUUUGAUUGAGAUUUGCAGCAAUUUGAUGUCAGGAAUGUAUUUCUAUAUAGAGAUUUAGAAGAAUAGGUCUUUAUGGAGCCACCAUCCAGAUUUGAUGGAGAUUUUGGGGUUGAUAAAAUUUGUAGUUUGAAAAAGACUUUGUACGGCCUAAAACAAUCUCCUAGAGCAUGAUUUGGGAGGUUUACAAAGGCAAUGCUGAGAAUGAGAUACAAACAAAGCCAGAGAGACUACAUAUUAUUUAUAAAAUACUCAGAUAAAGAUGAAGUUACAGUCUUACUAGUGUAUAUGGAUGAUAUUAUUAUGAUAGAAAAUGAUGCAUCUAAAAGAGAAUCUCUUAGAAAAAGAUUGGCUCAAGAAUUUGAGAUCAAAGAACUCAAAAAAUUGAAAUACUUUCUAGAUAUUGAAGUGGCUUACUCAAAAAAAGUUAUAUUUGUCUCUCAAUGAAAAUAUGUACCAGACUUUCUUAAAGAAAUCAGAAAUUUUUGCAGCAAAGCAACAAGUAUGCCUAUUGAUUAUAAUCAUAGGAUAGAAAAAACUGAAGAGGAUAGCUCAAUUGAUAAAGGAAGAUAUCAGAGACUUGUAAGAAAAUUAAUUUAUCUUUCACAUACAAGAUCAGUCAUUGCCUACUCUAUGAGUGUAGUCAAUCAGUUUAUGCAUGACCCAAAAGAAGAACACUUGUAAGCAAUUUACAGAAUCCUGCACUAUCUUAAAGCUACACCAGGUAAGAAAAUCUUGUUUCAGAAAAGGAGUCCUAUACUGAUGUUGAUUAUGCUGGAUCACAAGUUGACAGAAGAUCAACAUCUGGACACUGCACAUUUCUAAAAAGUAAUCUGAUGACUUGGAGGAGUACAAAAUAGAAUGUGGUAACAAAGUCUAGUGUUGAGGCUAAGUUCAGAGCCAUGGCUCCAGAGAUUUAUGAACUACUGUGGGUAAAAAUAAUCCUAGAUAACUUAAAGAUCAAGAGAGAAGGAAUGAUAAAGCUAUAUUGUGAUAACAAAUCUGUCAUUAAUAUUGCUUAUAAUCCGAUUCAGCAUGAUCGGACCAAGCACAUUGAGAUAGACAAAUACUUCAUAAAGGAGAAGUUGGACAAUGGGUUGAUUAGUAUCCCAUAUAUGCCAUCAGAGAAUCAGUUAGCUGAUGUUCUAACCAAGGGUCUACCUACAAUGAGAUUUCAAGAAAUUAUUAGCAAGCUGGGAAUGAAAGAUAUUCACUCACCAGCUUGAGGAAGACUGUUGAAAAUUUUCUAAAAUCUCUCAUCUAAUUGUAGGAUAUUUAUAUAGUUUCCUAUUCUUUCUCUCUUUAUAAUGGUAGGAUAUUUGUAUAGUUUCCUAUUCUUCUUCCCUUUCCUUAUUUCUUGUAACUAUAUUUAAUUAUCUCUUAUUUGAUGGGAUUUGAUCUUAUCUCUUAUUUCAUGGGAUUUACACAGGAUUUGAUCUCUUAAGAAGAUCAUCCUUUUGUAUAUUUAUAUGGGAUUGAUUAUCUACUGAAAAUGAGAAGUAAAUUAUAUCUUUUCUCAAAUACUCUUAUCAUAUGUGUUUGAUACUUAUGUUAAAUAUCCUAUUUUUUAAAAUUAAGAAAGCCUUCUAAAUACUUUCGGAUACGCUCAAGUUACUUCUUUGAUAUCUCCAAGAAUGAAAUCAAGGGAUUUUUCUUUCUUUUUCUUUCAAGGAUGAAUGCUAACCAUUUAAUGAUAAAUAAUUAAUUUUUGAGUUAAUAAUGUUAAUACUGUCAAAUGGGGUAGGAAUUAGGUCUAUGAAUUUGAAUGAUAAAAAAAUGAUGAGUUUGUAAAAGUUCAUAGAUGCUUUUUUGUAUAUCCACAUCAUAUGCAUAUGUAUUUGUAAAAUUCAUAUAUAUUUGUUCCAUAUCCUAGUUGUAUCAUAUUGUUGGGGGGUAAUACGUCCACUAUGAGCUAAUGAAAGUGGAUACCUUGGACCCUAUCUGAUAUGAUAUACCCUGAGCACUAUUUGAACUCUAUUGAUGACCGACCUGGAAGCUUACCGACUAGGCGUUCCUUUGAGAGGAAAGGAC
Molecule: long non-coding RNA, 41632 nt
Filed under: Elaeis guineensis (African oil palm)
Lineage: Eukaryota; Viridiplantae; Streptophyta; Magnoliopsida; Arecales; Arecaceae
Description: long non-coding RNA (EGUI_LNC040907)
Rfam family: mir-156 microRNA precursor family (bases 466-551)
Source: RNAcentral